GCUCAGAACUUACGGAAUUGACGGGGCCCGCACAAGCGGAGGAGCAUGUGGUUUAAUUCGAUGAUACGCGAGGAACCUUACCUGGGCUCGAACGUAAGAUGACUGUAGGUGAAAGCUUACAUCUCUUCGGAGCAUUUUACGAGGUGCUGCAUGGUUGUCGUCAGCUCGUGCCGUGAGGUGUCGGGUUAAGUCCCAUAACGAGCGCAACCCCUACCUUUAGUUGCCAUCAGGUAAUGCUGGGGACUCUAAAGGAACUGCCUACGCAAGUAGUGAGGAAGGCGGGGAUGACGUCAAAUCAGCACGGCCCUUACGUCCAGGGCUACACACGUGCUACAAUGGCCGAUACAGAGGGCAGCUACCUGGUGACAGGAUGCAAAUCUCCAAAGUCGGUCUCAGUUCGGAUCGGAGUCUGCAACCCGACUCCGUGAAGUUGGAUUCGCUAGUAAUCGCGCAUCAGCCAUGGCGCGGUGAAUACGUUCCCGGGCCUU
Molecule: ribosomal RNA, 488 nt
Filed under: uncultured Sphingobacteriales bacterium
Lineage: Bacteria; Pseudomonadati; Bacteroidota; Sphingobacteriia; Sphingobacteriales
Description: bacterial SSU rRNA
Rfam family: Bacterial small subunit ribosomal RNA
Source: RNAcentral